AGUGAACGCUGGCGGUAGGCCUAACACAUGCAAGUCGAACGGCAGCACAGUAAGAGCUUGCUCUUACGGGUGGCGAGUGGCGGACGGGUGAGGAAUACAUCGGAAUCUACUUUUUCGUGGGGGAAAACGUAGGGAAACUUACGCUAAUACCGCAUACGACCUACGGGUGAAAGCAGGGGAUCUUCGGACCUUGCGCGAUUGAAUGAGCCGAUGUCGGAUUAGCUAGUUGGCGGGGUAAAGGCCCACCAAGGCGACGAUCCGUAGCUGGUCUGAGAGGAUGAUCAGCCACACUGGAACUGAGACACGGUCCAGACUCCUACGGGAGGCAGCAGUGGGGAAUAUUGGACAAUGGGCGCAAGCCUGAUCCAGCCAUACCGCGUGGGUGAAGAAGGCCUUCGGGUUGUAAAGCCCUUUUGUUGGGAAAGAAAAGCAGCAGGUUAAUACCCCGCUGUUCUGACGGUACCCAAAGAAUAAGCACCGGCUAACUUCGUG
Molecule: ribosomal RNA, 492 nt
Filed under: uncultured bacterium
Lineage: Bacteria
Description: partial 16S ribosomal RNA
Rfam family: Bacterial small subunit ribosomal RNA
Source: RNAcentral